RNAcentral lists this RNase P RNA (387 nucleotides) under Thermaerobacter sp. PB12/4term. Its description in RNAcentral is "RNase P RNA component class A". It matches the Rfam family "Bacterial RNase P class A". From Rfam's summary of the family: Ribonuclease P (RNase P) is a ubiquitous endoribonuclease, found in archaea, bacteria and eukarya as well as chloroplasts and mitochondria. Its best characterised activity is the generation of mature 5'-ends of tRNAs by cleaving the 5'-leader elements of precursor-tRNAs. RNAcentral also lists the same sequence under 1 other name. Lineage: Bacteria; Bacillati; Bacillota; Clostridia; Eubacteriales; Clostridiales Family XVII. Incertae Sedis. The record is from RNAcentral.
CGAGUCAGCCGGGUGAUCGCGGGCGCAGGGCCGCAAGGCCGCGUCCGAGGAAAGUCCGGGCUGCACAGGGCACGGUGCUGGGUAACGCCCAGCGGGGGCGACCCCCGGGAAAGUGCCACAGAAACAUACCGCCGGUGGAACCGGCGCGGGGCGCGGCCUGCGCCGCGCGCCGCCGGCCACCGGUAAGGGUGAAAAGGUGCGGUAAGAGCGCACCAGCGGCCAGGCGACUGGCCGGCUAGGCAAACCCCACCGGCAGCAAGGCCGAGUAGGAGGGCGAUGAGGUGGCCCGCUGAGCCCUCGGGUUGGCCGCUGGAGGCCCCGGGUGACCGGGUGCCCUAGAUAGAUGAUCACCCUCGACAGAACCCGGCUUACAGGCUGGCUCGGCCC